UUACAUCUCUUCGGAGCAUUUUACGUAGGUGCUGCAUGGUUGUCGUCAGCUCGUGCCGUGAGGUGUCGGGUUAAGUCCCAUAACGAGCGCAACCCCUACCUUUAGUUGCCAUCAGGUUAAGCUGGGGGACUCUAAAGGAACUGCCUACGCAAGUAGUGAGGAAGGCGGGGAUGACGUCAAAUCAGCACGGCCCUUACGUCCAGGGCUACACACGUGCUACAAUGGCCGAUACAGAGGGCAGCUACCUGGUGACAGGAUGCAAAUCUCCAAAGUCGGUCUCAGUUCGGAUCGGAGUCUGCAACCCGACUCCGUGAAGUUGGAUUCGCUAGUAAUCGCGCAUCAGCCAUGGCGCGGUGAAUACGUUCCCGGGCCUU
This 374-nucleotide ribosomal RNA is filed under the name uncultured Sphingobacteriales bacterium. RNAcentral describes it as "bacterial SSU rRNA". It matches the Rfam family "Bacterial small subunit ribosomal RNA", at positions 1010 to 1382 of the family's 1533-position model. The record is from RNAcentral. Lineage: Bacteria; Pseudomonadati; Bacteroidota; Sphingobacteriia; Sphingobacteriales.